RNAcentral lists this long non-coding RNA (545 nucleotides) under Melopsittacus undulatus (budgerigar). Its description in RNAcentral is "lncRNA (ENSMUNG00000003084.2)". The record is from RNAcentral. Lineage: Eukaryota; Metazoa; Chordata; Aves; Psittaciformes; Psittaculidae.
CUCCUUAUGAACACCAGGAACUUGCAUCAGUAAUCGCUCAGCAUGUCUCCUGGAAGCCUAGCCACUGCUUGGAGGACACAGAGAUGCAGCCUUUAGUAUAUGCCCAGUAAAGACCAAGAAACAGUAGUUGAUCCCACAGGGCCUGCAAGAAUGGAAUGACCCCUCCUGGAACUGCACAACUUCCAUCCUGUCCUCUCUGAGAUGCUCACACCAGCAGCAGAGAAAUGCAAAGAGCAGUAAAAAAACAAGUGAAAAGGAGAUGGCAGCAUCCUGAGCUGGGUACAGGCUCAGCCGCAGCAGUUGCUACACUGAAAGGCAACAGAAAAGGUGUGAAUGAGUGUGAGAGCCUGAAAGAUGUGAUCCCCUACGGGCAAGGGAGACCUUUGCCAAAGUAAAAAGGAAGACAGUGAAAAGACUGAAACCCACCUGAGUGCAUCAGUCAGCUGGAGAAAUAUCGCCUUUCCAUCUAACAGGGAAGUUGCAGUUCAGCAUUUCUUUGGCUUAAUAAUACGGUUUAAUAUGAGCCAGGUUCUUGUGGCUUGAAG